Molecule: ribosomal RNA, 2925 nt
Filed under: Enterobacter bugandensis
Lineage: Bacteria; Pseudomonadati; Pseudomonadota; Gammaproteobacteria; Enterobacterales; Enterobacteriaceae
Description: bacterial LSU rRNA
Rfam family: Bacterial large subunit ribosomal RNA
Source: RNAcentral
GGGUUGUGAGGUUAAGCGACUAAGCGUACACGGUGGAUGCCCUGGCAGUCAGAGGCGAUGAAGGACGUGCUAAUCUGCGAAAAGCGACGGCGAGGUGAUAUGAACCUUUGACCCGUCGAUGUCCGAAUGGGGAAACCCAGUGUGUUUCGACACACUAUCGUUAACUGAAUACAUAGGUUAACGAGGCGAACCGGGGGAACUGAAACAUCUAAGUACCCCGAGGAAAAGAAAUCAACCGAGAUUCCCCCAGUAGCGGCGAGCGAACGGGGAGCAGCCCGGAGUCUGAAUCAGCUUGUGUGUUAGUGGAAGCGUCUGGAAAGUCGCACGGUACAGGGUGACAGUCCCGUACACGAAAAUGCACAGGUUGUGAACUCGAAGAGUAGGGCGGGACACGUGGUAUCCUGUCUGAAUAUGGGGGGACCAUCCUCCAAGGCUAAAUACUCCUGACUGACCGAUAGUGAACCAGUACCGUGAGGGAAAGGCGAAAAGAACCCCGGCGAGGGGAGUGAAAAAGAACCUGAAACCGUGUACGUACAAGCAGUGGGAGCACCUUCGUGGUGUGACUGCGUACCUUUUGUAUAAUGGGUCAGCGACUUAUAUUCUGUAGCAAGGUUAACCGUAUAGGGGAGCCGCAGGGAAACCGAGUCUUAACUGGGCGUUAAGUUGCAGGGUAUAGACCCGAAACCCGGUGAUCUAGCCAUGGGCAGGUUGAAGGUUGGGUAACACUAACUGGAGGACCGAACCGACUAAUGUUGAAAAAUUAGCGGAUGACCUGUGGCUGGGGGUGAAAGGCCAAUCAAACCGGGAGAUAGCUGGUUCUCCCCGAAAGCUAUUUAGGUAGCGCCUCGUGAACUCAUCUUCGGGGGUAGAGCACUGUUUCGGCUAGGGGGCCAUCCCGGCUUACCAACCCGAUGCAAACUACGAAUACCGAAGAAUGUUAUCACGGGAGACACACGGCGGGUGCUAACGUCCGUCGUGAAGAGGGAAACAACCCAGACCGCCAGCUAAGGUCCCAAAGUCAUGGUUAAGUGGGAAACGAUGUGGGAAGGCACAGACAGCCAGGAUGUUGGCUUAGAAGCAGCCAUCAUUUAAAGAAAGCGUAAUAGCUCACUGGUCGAGUCGGCCUGCGCGGAAGAUGUAACGGGGCUAAACCAUGCACCGAAGCUGCGGCAGCGACACUAUGUGUUGUUGGGUAGGGGAGCGUUCUGUAAGCCGUUGAAGGUGUGCUGUGAGGCAUGCUGGAGGUAUCAGAAGUGCGAAUGCUGACAUAAGUAACGAUAAAGCGGGUGAAAAGCCCGCUCGCCGGAAGACCAAGGGUUCCUGUCCAACGUUAAUCGGGGCAGGGUGAGUCGACCCCUAAGGCGAGGCCGAAAGGCGUAGUCGAUGGGAAACAGGUUAAUAUUCCUGUACUUGGUGUUACUGCGAAGGGGGGACGGAGAAGGCUAUGUCAGCCGGGCGACGGUUGUCCCGGUUUAAGCGUGUAGGUGUGUGUUCCAGGCAAAUCCGGUUCACUUUAACACUGAGGCGUGAUGACGAGGCACUACGGUGCUGAAGUGAUAAAUGCCCUGCUUCCAGGAAAAGCCUCUAAGCAUCAGGUAACACGAAAUCGUACCCCAAACCGACACAGGUGGUCAGGUAGAGAAUACCAAGGCGCUUGAGAGAACUCGGGUGAAGGAACUAGGCAAAAUGGUGCCGUAACUUCGGGAGAAGGCACGCUGAUAUGUAGGUGAAGUCCCUGCGGACGGAGCUGAAAUCAGUCGAAGAUACCAGCUGGCUGCAACUGUUUAUUAAAAACACAGCACUGUGCAAACACGAAAGUGGACGUAUACGGUGUGACGCCUGCCCGGUGCCGGAAGGUUAAUUGAUGGGGUUAGCGGCAACGCGAAGCUCUUGAUCGAAGCCCCGGUAAACGGCGGCCGUAACUAUAACGGUCCUAAGGUAGCGAAAUUCCUUGUCGGGUAAGUUCCGACCUGCACGAAUGGCGUAAUGAUGGCCAGGCUGUCUCCACCCGAGACUCAGUGAAAUUGAACUCGCUGUGAAGAUGCAGUGUACCCGCGGCAAGACGGAAAGACCCCGUGAACCUUUACUAUAGCUUGACACUGAACACUGGUCCUUGAUGUGUAGGAUAGGUGGGAGGCUUUGAAGCGUGGACGCCAGUCUGCGUGGAGCCGUCCUUGAAAUACCACCCUUUAAUGGCUGGUGUUCUAACGUGGACCCGUGAUCCGGGUUGCGGACAGUGUCUGGUGGGUAGUUUGACUGGGGCGGUCUCCUCCCAAAGAGUAACGGAGGAGCACGAAGGUUAGCUAAUCCUGGUCGGACAUCAGGAGGUUAGUGCAAUGGCAUAAGCUAGCUUGACUGCGAGAGUGACGGCUCGAGCAGGUGCGAAAGCAGGUCAUAGUGAUCCGGUGGUUCUGAAUGGAAGGGCCAUCGCUCAACGGAUAAAAGGUACUCCGGGGAUAACAGGCUGAUACCGCCCAAGAGUUCAUAUCGACGGCGGUGUUUGGCACCUCGAUGUCGGCUCAUCACAUCCUGGGGCUGAAGUAGGUCCCAAGGGUAUGGCUGUUCGCCAUUUAAAGUGGUACGCGAGCUGGGUUUAGAACGUCGUGAGACAGUUCGGUCCCUAUCUGCCGUGGGCGCUGGAGAAUUGAGGGGGGCUGCUCCUAGUACGAGAGGACCGGAGUGGACGCAUCACUGGUGUUCGGGUUGUCAUGCCAAUGGCACUGCCCGGUAGCUAAAUGCGGAAGAGAUAAGUGCUGAAAGCAUCUAAGCACGAAACUUGCCCCGAGAUGAGUUCUCCCUGAGACUUUAAGUCUCCUGAAGGAACGUUGAAGACGACGACGUUGAUAGGCCGGGUGUGUAAGCGCAGCGAUGCGUUGAGCUAACCGGUACUAAUGAACCGUGAGGCUUAACCUUACAACGCCGAAG